RNAcentral lists this ribosomal RNA (253 nucleotides) under uncultured bacterium. RNAcentral describes it as "partial 16S ribosomal RNA". It matches the Rfam family "Bacterial small subunit ribosomal RNA", at positions 524 to 776 of the family's 1533-position model. The record is from RNAcentral.
UACGAAGGGGGCUAGCGUUGCUCGGAAUCACUGGGCGUAAAGGGUGCGUAGGCGGGUCUUUAAGUCAGGGGUGAAAUCCUGGAGCUCAACUCCAGAACUGCCUUUGAUACUGAGGAUCUUGAGUUCGGGAGAGGUGAGUGGAACUGCGAGUGUAGAGGUGAAAUUCGUAGAUAUUCGCAAGAACACCAGUGGCGAAGGCGGCUCACUGGCCCGAUACUGACGCUGAGGCGCGAAAGCGUGGGGAGCAAACAGG